Acanthochromis polyacanthus (spiny chromis) is the source of this 1209-nucleotide long non-coding RNA. RefSeq lists it as uncharacterized. The transcript is spliced from 5 exons. Lineage: Eukaryota; Metazoa; Chordata; Actinopteri; Pomacentridae. The record is from RefSeq and is a predicted model, not a curated record.
AACAUUCUGGUCAUGUGACCUCCUUCUGAUGGUGGUCACUAUGGUGACUGCUGCCUUGAUUUAACGUCUCGGUGGCGCUACAGCGGCAGUCCGACUGGGCGGCAGAAGAAGAAGACGUGGUGAUGGAUGUAAACAAAUAGCUGCAGAUGUUUCGUCGCAGAUUCUUCAAGACUAGACCUGGAUGUGUGUGAAAGAAAGAUACCAGAUGAAGAAGACCCCGCUGAAAAACAGUUAAACGUCCAAUCAGCGACCGGCGAUGUCGUGGGUGAAGCAGCGGUACCGUGACAUCAGCCCCGUGACCCUGCAGGUGGUGGGUGGAGCCGUGAGCUCCAGUCUGUACUGUGGGGAGGUGGAGGGGCUCCUCGGGGCAACGGUGGGGCUGGUGGAGUCCUUCCUGGUGGAGCUCUAUCGCUGCAAACUCUGUCAGUUCACCUGCGGCCUGAAGGCCUCCAUCAGCAGCCACCUGCUGCUCAGGCACCGCCCCCUUCCCUCACCUGUCUGGAGGGCGAGGCUGAGGGCGGGGAAGAGGUGGAGCUGCAGCGGGGGGCAUCGCCUUAUCAGCUGGACCUGAACGGAGAAACGAAGCAGAGUGACGAGGAUGAGGACUUCCUGCUCUACAACAUGCUGGACAACAUGAGCCCGCCCACCUGUGACAUCAGCACUGAGGGGGGGCUGCAGGUCGCACACACCUAGCUCCCUGCUCCCCAGCAGACCACUGCAUAGAAAACAGCAGACGCUACCACAGAGUCAUAGAAUGUCCGGAGCAGAGUCCUGCUCACUCCAAAGGACCUCGGUCUCCUCAGCAGGUGGAGACGACUUUGGUCCUUCUUGUACAGGACCUCUGUGUUGUGUGACCAGUCCAGUUUGUUGUUGAGGUGAACACCCAGGUAUCUGUAUGAGUCCACUAUUUCAGUGUCCAAACCCUGGAUGUUCACCGGUGCAGUCUGAGGUGUCCUCCUCCUGCAGAAGUCGAUGGUCAUCUCUUUCGUCUUACUGGCGUUGAGCUGCAGAUGGUUUCGCUCACACCAGUCGACAAAGUCAGAGAUGACUGUCCUGUUCUCCAUCUCAUCCCCAUCAGACACACACCCUAUGAGACGUAGAAUGAAGUGUUUUCAAUAAUCUGAUGCUUCUUUCUGUUUUUAUGGGGAUUUCUUUAAACCCCUGCUGUUAGUUCUGGUUCUGGUUCUGGUAUGUUUUCUGAGCAUCCGU